Molecule: transfer RNA, 73 nt
Filed under: Capra hircus (goat)
Lineage: Eukaryota; Metazoa; Chordata; Mammalia; Artiodactyla; Bovidae
Also listed under: 1 other name
Rfam family: tRNA
About the family: Transfer RNA (tRNA) molecules are approximately 80 nucleotides in length. Their secondary structure includes four short double-helical elements and three loops (D, anti-codon, and T loops).
Source: Rfam by way of RNAcentral
GCCUUGGUGGUCCAGUGGUUAAGAUUCCACACUCCCAAUGCAGGGGGCCCAGGUUCCAUCCCUGGUCAAGGAA